RNAcentral lists this ribosomal RNA (963 nucleotides) under Escherichia coli. Its description in RNAcentral is "partial 23S ribosomal RNA". It matches the Rfam family "Bacterial large subunit ribosomal RNA", at positions 188 to 1191 of the family's 2925-position model. Lineage: Bacteria; Pseudomonadati; Pseudomonadota; Gammaproteobacteria; Enterobacterales; Enterobacteriaceae. The record is from RNAcentral.
GGGAACUGAAACAUCUAAGUACCCCGAGGAAAAGAAAUCAACCGAGAUUCCCCCAGUAGCGGCGAGCGAACGGGGAGGAGCCCAGAGCCUGAAUCAGUGUGUGUGUUAGUGGAAGCGUCUGGAAAGGCGCGCGAUACAGGGUGACAGCCCCGUACACAAAAAUGCACAUACUGUGAGCUCGAUGAGUAGGGCGGGACACGUGGUAUCCUGUCUGAAUAUGGGGGGACCAUCCUCCAAGGCUAAAUACUCCUGACUGACCGAUAGUGAACCAGUACCGUGAGGGAAAGGCGAAAAGAACCCCGGCGAGGGGAGUGAAAAAGAACCUGAAACCGUGUACGUACAAGCAGUGGGAGCCUCUUUUAUGGGGUGACUGCGUACCUUUUGUAUAAUGGGUCAGCGACUUAUAUUCUGUAGCAAGGUUAACCGAAUAGGGGAGCCGAAGGGAAACCGAGUCUUAACUGGGCGUUAAGUUGCAGGGUAUAGACCCGAAACCCGGUGAUCUAGCCAUGGGCAGGUUGAAGGUUGGGUAACACUAACUGGAGGACCGAACCGACUAAUGUUGAAAAAUUAGCGGAUGACUUGUGGCUGGGGGUGAAAGGCCAAUCAAACCGGGAGAUAGCUGGUUCUCCCCGAAAGCUAUUUAGGUAGCGCCUCGUGAAUUCAUCUCCGGGGGUAGAGCACUGUUUCGGCAAGGGGGUCAUCCCGACUUACCAACCCGAUGCAAACUGCGAAUACCGGAGAAUGUUAUCACGGGAGACACACGGCGGGUGCUAACGUCCGUCGUGAAGAGGGAAACAACCCAGACCGCCAGCUAAGGUCCCAAAGUCAUGGUUAAGUGGGAAACGAUGUGGGAAGGCCCAGACAGCCAGGAUGUUGGCUUAGAAGCAGCCAUCAUUUAAAGAAAGCGUAAUAGCUCACUGGUCGAGUCGGCCUGCGCGGAAGAUGUAACGGGGCUAAACCAUG